GCGCCCACUUCCCGCUCCAAGUUCAGAAACACAAUUUUAUCCUUUUCUGCAUUCGAGCGUAUCAGAAUUCAGAAACACCAACCUUCAUUCUCCUCUGCUGGCAUCACAGUUGCACCGCUGUCACUCCGUUUGCUCGUGCUGCCACUGUCGCUCCUCAGGUAUCCUCUUCAAUUUCAUUUGGAAAUUCCUAAAUUCCCUUUGAUCCUCUCCACGCUGAUGACCCCUCUGCUCUUCAGAUCCAUGUGCCAGAAGGUUGUGAUCUUGUUGCUGUUGGAGCACUUGCUGUGGCAUUUGGCACUUCUCAUGUAGCACUUGUGCAUAGAGCUAAUUUAACCUCUGGUCAGGUGUUGGUGGUUUUUGGUGCAGCAGAAGGUGUAGGGCUUACAGCUGUUCAAAUUGGAAAGCGUGUGGUGCCAUUGUCAUUGCUGUUACUAGGGGAGCUGAAAAGGUGCAGAUUUUGAAGACUCUUGGUGUUGAUCAUGUCAUCCCUGCUAACAUAGCUCUUGUUAAGUUGGUGCUGGUCUUUUGAAAAUUGAGGAGAUUUUGGAAAGGGAGAGAAGGCUGUGGAUCUCGAAUGACAUUGAAUUUGAGGAGCAGAAUUUUAUUGCCUUGAUGAAUUAAGCAAGAGAGGAUAUGGUUGGUAGAGAUGGAGAUCGCGGCCAUGGCUAAGGUCGAGGUCGAAAGGGGAGGCAUAGGCUUUCUACCGGCCACCUCCUUGACUGCUCCGACUCGGAUGAUUAUUUAGACGAGUAUGACUAGGUUAUUUAAUUACGUUACUUUGAAUAUUAGGUAUUAUUAGUGGAUUGCAAUUUAAACGAAUAUAAGUCUAAGUUUAUUUAUUUAUCUUGUUUUGAGUCUUUAUGUUAGAGCAUUAUUUAUUACUUUGACAAGUUUGUAAACUCAUUAUCUAAUAUUUAAUAUAAAUUUAUUUUUAUAUUUA
Molecule: long non-coding RNA, 940 nt
Organism: Arachis duranensis
Lineage: Eukaryota; Viridiplantae; Streptophyta; Magnoliopsida; Fabales; Fabaceae
Exons: 6
Source: RefSeq, a predicted model, not a curated record